GAGAAGCCUCACUUAUAGAGUAUCUCAUCUUGAAGAAUAAAGUGGGCAGCUCGUCAUCUCAACUUCUAUGCCUCCUCUUUGUCAGGGAGAGGCAGGGUGUGGUUUUGUAGGAAUGCAAUAAUGGGUCCCAUCCAUGACGGGAUAUUUUCUAACCACAUCACCUCUUCGUUUUUGAAAUUGAGGGCCUCAGAAGGUGCUCUAUGGGAACCAGAGUAACUCGGAGGAGAAGCUCGAGCACAAGACCGGCGACCUCAAGGCCAAGGUUAAUUCCUUAACCAUUUCAUUUUUACUUUUCCUUUCUCUUUCUCUUCUCCCUGAAGAGAGCCCAAAACUGUUGAUUAUUCAGUUUUAUAAACACAGUCCUAACCUUUUUUUACAAGAUAUGUUCGAAGAAUCUAAGACUCAAAUCGUCUGGUGGGCUCUCUAUGUACUUGCCAUCUCUUACUUCUUAACAUGUUAGCUCAUCUAUUUUUCUAAUUUUAAAUAAAUUGUCGGUGGUGUUGGUGCAUAAUUUUUGCUAUCUUAUAAGGUGUGAUAAUGGUUAGGUUUUGUAAAAAUAGUAAAACUGCAGUGCCAAUGGAGUGGCCGUCUACUCGGCGCCUCUUUACCCUCUACCUCGUGAUUGUAGUUCAUAGGGGUGAGAUCAGAUUUUGACACAAUUUAUCUUUUGUUUUGUUAAUUUCAUCAAACUGUAGUUUGUUUUCAUUAGCUAUUUUUAUUAACUAAUCUAUGAUUGAGUGAUGAAAAAGAAUUCAUGGAAUGAACUGCAAAUGUUCUUCAAUUUUUCAAGGCUUAUAGCAGUCACUGUCGAUGGAUGAUUUUCUUGAUGUAUUCCCAAGAUCUUCUAAUCAUAUAAAUCCGAUUAGUAUUUUGUUCAUAUCCGCUCACUCUUUAAUUUGAUUUGAUUUUUACUUGAUUUAUUAAAUUAUUUUCAUUUUUAGGCAGUCAAUUUGUCACUGAGUUCUUAAUUUUCUUUGAAAGGAAAUCAGAAAUUUCCCAUGUUCUUGUGCAUGUUGCUUGUUCAAGAAAGGGAAAAAUAAAUAUGUUUGCUAAAAUUUUGAAAUUUGUGAAUAUUCUUCAAAUAGAUUAAGCAGCAUUAAAGGAUUAGCACUUUGGAAGUAAAGGAUUAUAAUUUACAUUAAAAACACGUAUCUUUAUACUGCAAAUACCAAAUAAUUAAAUUGUUCCUCGAGCUGAAAAUAGAAUAUCCAAUCUCUUGAUUACUACCACUCAUUGAAAAUCAUGUGGAAAUUUCAGAAAUUUUUUUCCAUCUAAUUGUUUAUAGCUUUUCUUAAGAAAAGUCCAAAUUUUGUUAUGGAAAGAAUUUGUUAACUUACAAUCAGAAAAUUGAUUUCUGUUUGGUUAAUAUGAUUGUUUCUCAAUUAUAAUUCAACAUUUUAUUGCUGACAUAGAGUUUUACAUGGGGAGGACAUUCCAUGAUAAGUCAUCCAUUCGCUAGGACUCACAGGAGGAACAGUGCUUUGAAUCAGACAAGCUCGUUUUUUUUAUAUCAUGCCAAUAUCUAAGAUUAUGAUGGCCUUGGAUAUCUUAUUUACUCAGCUAUUGAAUUUCAUGUAUCAAUUUGUUAUUUCAGGAUGUGUUCUCAUAGAGAUACACAGUAUCUGAUUACUGUAGUUCACGAAUUGUGUAUUUUUCAAAUGCUUUUUUAAAUUUUCAAAUGGUACUUCGGAAGAUGUUUUGUUUUGUUUUCUUUUUUCUUAUUUGAUUAAUCCUUCUUAAAGUUUAAGCAUUAUGUAUUUUUUUGAAAUCUUUAAAUUACUUGGAUUUUGAUUUGAUCAAAAGAUCCUAUAUGAUUUUUUUUAUUUUUUUUUUUCUUUUGAUUCAAAGUUUAGAGGAAAGUAGAAAAUAUGCGGGCAGAAGGAAGAAAUCGAUGAGCUCUCAAAGAUAUAGGAAACCUUGUGCCUUCUCCAGCUAUCUGUUGAGGGAAAGUCCCAAACUUAGAUCUUUCGCUCCAUAACAAGGUAUACAUUUAUUUGGCUUUGUGCUUGUAGGGGUUAACUGAACACAUAAAAUAUUUGCUUUCAUGAGUUUUUGUGCUCAAUUAUUGGUAAAUACACAAGCAGCAGCUGAGAAGAAAAGUAAUAUGUCUCUAUUUUCUCAUAAAAAUUCCUAGGUAUAAGCCUUUGUUUAAAUCAUGGUUUCUUCCCCAAGAUUUUUAACGUAAAAGCUCUUUUGACAGCCAAAGGUACUUGGGAUAAACUUCAUAGCUUUCAUACUUAUAUUUUGUAGGAUUGAAGGCAUAGAAGAACUCGAGCUGGUAGUGCAAAGAUAAAUUCGUAGAAAACUAUGACACUGAUAAAAGCGAUAUUCAAGAUCCAACGUGACAUAAGAAAGAUUCUUUUCUUCCCAAAAAGGUGCUAAUCAUAAUGCACACGUUUGAAGAGAGUGUGGUAGACAUGUGGGAAGAGGGAGUUUGCCUUGUAUUUUUUCUUUUUAAAUUUUAUUAAUUUUUUUUGUUUUUAUUUUGCUUUUUAGAUCUUUUUGUGAUUUCUUUUGAAAAUUUUUGUUUUUGUAUGAGUAGAUCGAAAGAAAAUUAUUUUUUAUAAAAAAUAGUGCCUUUGUGAGAAAUCUGAAUACAUUGUUG
This 2605-nucleotide long non-coding RNA is filed under the name Olea europaea (common olive). Its description in RNAcentral is "long non-coding RNA (OEUR_LNC001550)". Lineage: Eukaryota; Viridiplantae; Streptophyta; Magnoliopsida; Lamiales; Oleaceae. The record is from RNAcentral.